This 301-nucleotide ribosomal RNA is filed under the name uncultured bacterium. RNAcentral's name for it is "partial 16S ribosomal RNA". It matches the Rfam family "Bacterial small subunit ribosomal RNA", at positions 509 to 807 of the family's 1533-position model. The record is from RNAcentral.
CAGCCGCCGCGGUAAUACGUAGGGUGCAAGCGUUAAUCGGAAUUACUGGGCGUAAAGCGUGCGCAGGCGGUUAUAUAAGACAGAUGUGAAAUCCCCGGGCUCAACCUGGGAACUGCAUUUGUGACUGUAUAGCUAGAGUACGGCAGAGGGGGAUGGAAUUCCGCGUGUAGCAGUGAAAUGCGUAGAUAUGCGGAGGAACACCGAUGGCGAAGGCAAUCCCCUGGGCCUGUACUGACGCUCAUUCACGAAAGCGUGGGGAGCAAACAGGAUUAGAUACCCCGGUAGUCCCUGUCUCUUAUAC